Molecule: long non-coding RNA, 1311 nt
Organism: Hippocampus comes (tiger tail seahorse)
Lineage: Eukaryota; Metazoa; Chordata; Actinopteri; Syngnathiformes; Syngnathidae
Exons: 5
Source: RefSeq, a predicted model, not a curated record
UAGGAGUGUGCUCCGGCGCCCAAGCAGAGCUCUCCCGACUCUGACUCCUGCCCAUCAUCUCCUAAGCACCCCUCAACUCCGUCAGAGAAGUGCGGGGUCCUAAAUGUCACCAAAAUCACGGAGAAUGGGAAAAAAGUCAGGAAGAACUGGGCAUCCUCGUGGACGGUGUUACAGGGUUCCUCGCUCCUCUUUGCAAAGGGUCAAGGAGGUAGCACGAGCUGGUCUUUUUACCGAAACGGCUCCAUCCCCGAGUUGCUCCUCACUCUUCUUAGCAACUUGAAGCCAUCAGUCAAGCCCCGCCCCGCUGUCUCCUAUGUAAACGACAGCCCCGCAAAGGCUGCUGCUGCUGCUGCACGUCCUUUUUUUUUCCCUCGCCGCUACUUGGGCCCUAACUGACAGACUUGUGUGUGUUUCACUGUGUGCUGCUAAUGGUUCAGGUUGAAUUAUUAACCACAUCACUCAAAAAUCUGGCACUCUUAACUCAGAAACGCUCCUGAUGGGACUUUUGAGCAUUUUCAAUAAAGUACCAACCAGGGGUGAACACUUUUGAAAAAUAAUCUAAUUGCAUUUUCUCCCCCAGACUUGAAUUUAUAUUAUCCUGACACCACAGGAGGACUUUCUGUUUAAAUGUCUUAUGUCUAAUAUUAUCCCGUUGCUGAAAUCUUGGCGUUACGUCAAAUUCAUGGUCAAAUUUGUUAAAUACGAUGUCAUUCAUUUGAUAGUUUACGAUAUAAUAUGAAAGGCAGGUGGCGCUAAUGUCGUAAAUGUGCCAAAAGUUAUUGUGGCGGCCAUUUGCUUGGAUCGGAGUAACUUGUCAUCAUAACAUGACUAACGGUGAUUUGCCCGCAAAAAAAAAAACAAAAAACAAAAAAAACAAAAAAAAAAACAAUCCAAGGAAUUAACACCACUUUAAUACAGCAGCUUAACCGUUUUGUAUUUAGAUACUAUUUGCCAUUUAACUGCUUGUCUUGAUCUUAGACCAGUUUAACCUCACGGUUCCCUCUCUGCGACAUUCUCGCUUAUGCUGCGUCACUGCAUUUCAGAAGUUUGGCAGCAACCAAUCGAAGCCCGAGUUUACCGUUGACUUGCGCGGGGGAUCCGUGGAAUGGGCUUCCAAGGACAAGUCCAGCAAGAAGCAUGUCAUUGAGCUGAAGACGCGUCAGGGGACAGAACUGCUGAUCCAGUCUGAGAUUGAUAGCGUCAUCAAUGACUGGUACCGGGCCCUGACCGAGACCAUUAACACAUACGUAAGUCGACUUAGUCAGACUGGCGGAUGUGUGUCACCAGCCUUACUGCAUCGAAAAAAAAAAA